AGAGCAUCGGUGAUGUUACAUCCUUCUUUUUAACUCAUCUUGCACUAUGAGAUAACCGGUGAAGAAAAAAUUGGGGGAAUAUGUAGUCUGAGAUGCUC
This 98-nucleotide small nucleolar RNA is filed under the name Leersia perrieri. RNAcentral describes it as "snoRNA snoR26". It matches the Rfam family "Small nucleolar RNA snoR26". Lineage: Eukaryota; Viridiplantae; Streptophyta; Magnoliopsida; Poales; Poaceae. The record is from Rfam by way of RNAcentral.